RNAcentral lists this unclassified non-coding RNA (341 nucleotides) under soil metagenome. RNAcentral's name for it is "partial contains 5.8S ribosomal RNA, internal transcribed spacer 2, and large subunit ribosomal RNA". The stretch from base 1 to 120 matches the Rfam family "5.8S ribosomal RNA", at positions 35 to 154 of the family's 154-position model. The record is from RNAcentral.
GAUGAAGAACGUAGCGAAAUGCGAUAACUAAUGUGAAUUGCAGAAUUCAGUGAAUCAUCGAGUCUUUGAACGUACAUUGCGCCCCCUGGUAUUCCGGGGGGCAUGCCUGUCCGAGCGUCAUUGCUGCCCUCAAGCACGGCUUGUGUGUUGGGCUCCGUCCCCCCGGGGACGGGUCCGAAAGGCAGCGGCGGCACCGAGUCCGGUCCUCGAGCGUAUGGGGCUUUGUCACCCGCUCUGUAGGCCCGGCCGGCGCCAGCCGACAACCAAUCAUCCUUUUUUCAGGUUGACCUCGGAUCAGGUAGGGAUACCCGCUGAACUUAAGCAUAUCAAUAAGCGGAGGA